RNAcentral lists this ribosomal RNA (494 nucleotides) under Nematoplana sp. 214386002. Its description in RNAcentral is "SSU rRNA". It matches the Rfam family "Eukaryotic small subunit ribosomal RNA", at positions 78 to 567 of the family's 1831-position model. The record is from RNAcentral. Lineage: Eukaryota; Metazoa; Platyhelminthes; Proseriata; Nematoplanidae.
ACGAUGAAACCGCGAAUGGCUCAUUAAAUCAGCUAUGGUUCCUUAGAUCAUACCAUCCUACUUGGAUAACUGUAGUAAUUCUAGAGCUAAUACAUGCCGCAAAGCCCCGACCUCACGGGAAGGGUGGAUUUAUUAGAACAAAACCAACCGGACUCCGGUCCGCUGGCUUGAUGACUCUGGAUAACUUUCCUGAUCGCACGACCUUCGCGUCGGCGACGUAUCUUUCAAAUGUCUGCCCUAUCAACUUACGAUGGUAGGUGAUAUGCCUACCAUGGUUAUUACGGGUAACGGGGAAUCAGGGUUCGAUUCCGGAGAGGGAGCCUGAGAAACGGCUACCACAUCCAAGGAAGGCAGCAGGCGCGCAAAUUACCCACUCCCGGCACGGGGAGGUAGUGACAAAAAAUAACGAUACGGGACUCAAUCGAGGCUCCGUAAUUGGAAUGAGUACACUUUAAAUCCUUUAACGAGGACCCAUUGGAGGGCAAGUCUGGUGC